AGAGUUUGAUCCUGGCUCAGAUUGAACGCUGGCGGCAUGCCUUACACAUGCAAGUCGAACGGCAGCACGGGGGCAACCCUGGUGGCGAGUGGCGAACGGGUGAGUAAUACAUCGGAACGUGUCCUGUUGUGGGGGAUAACCCACCGAAAGGUGAGCUAAUACCGCAUGAUCUGGAGACAGCAAAGCAGGGGAUCGCAAGACCUUGCGCGAUUGGAGCGGCCGAUGUCCGAUUAGCUAGUUGGUGGGGUAAAGGCCUACCAAGGCGACGAUCGGUAGCUGGUCUGAGAGGAUGAUCAGCCACACUGGGACUGAGACACGGCCCAGACUCCUACGGGAGGCAGCAGUGGGGAAUUUUGGACAAUGGGGGCAACCCUGAUCCAGCCAUGCCGCGUGAGUGAAGAAGGCCUUCGGGUUGUAAAGCUCUUUCGGUGGGAACGAAACGGUUACGGCUAAUAUCCGUGACUACUGACGGUACUCACAGAAGAAGCACCGGCUAACUACGUGCCAGCAGCCGCGGUAAUACGUAGGGUGCGAGCGUUAAUCGGAAUUACUGGGCGUAAAGCGUGCGCAGGCGGCGCGUUAAGACAGGUGUGAAAGCCCCGAGCUUAACUUGGGAAUUGCGCUUGUGACUGGCGUGCUGGAGUGUGGCAGAGGGAGGUGGAAUUCCACGUGUAGCAGUGAAAUGCGUAGAGAUGUGGAGGAACACCGAUGGCGAAGGCAGCCUCCUGGGCCAGCACUGACGCUCAUGC
Molecule: ribosomal RNA, 749 nt
Filed under: uncultured bacterium
Lineage: Bacteria
Description: bacterial SSU rRNA
Rfam family: Bacterial small subunit ribosomal RNA
Source: RNAcentral